This 541-nucleotide ribosomal RNA is filed under the name Cardioglossa elegans (elegant long-fingered frog). Its description in RNAcentral is "partial 16S ribosomal RNA". It matches the Rfam family "Bacterial large subunit ribosomal RNA", at positions 1855 to 2620 of the family's 2925-position model. Lineage: Eukaryota; Metazoa; Chordata; Amphibia; Anura; Arthroleptidae. The record is from RNAcentral.
ACGCCUGCCCAGUGAUCAUUUCAACGGCCACGGUACCCUAACCGCGCGAAGGUAGANNGACACUUCUCUAAAUAAGGACCGGUAUGAACGGCAUCAGAAGACGUCCUGUCUCCUUUCUGUAAUCAGUGAAACUGAUCCCCCCGUGAAAAAGCGGGGAUUAUACUACAAGACGAGAAGAACCCAUGGAGCUUUAAGAAAAUAGCAACUGCCACUAAAACAACACAGAAAAUAUGACAGACCUGACUAUCAACUUUAGGUUGGGGAGACCAUGGAGUAAAACAAAACCUCCACACUGAACGGGCCAGGCCCUAAUUUAAGAACCACAACUCCAAAAAUCAACAUAUUGACAUUUAUUGAUCCAAACCCUUGAUUAAUGAACCAAGUUACCCUGGGGAUAACAGCGCAAUCCAUUUCAAGAGCCCCUAUCGACAAAUGGGUUUACGACCUCGAUGUUGGAUCAGGGUAUCCCAGUGGUGCAGCCGCUACUAAAGGUUUGUUUGUUCAACAAUUAAAACCCUACGUGAUCUGAGUUCAGACCGGA